Molecule: long non-coding RNA, 153 nt
Organism: Bombus impatiens (common eastern bumble bee)
Lineage: Eukaryota; Metazoa; Arthropoda; Insecta; Hymenoptera; Apidae
Exons: 4
Source: RefSeq, a predicted model, not a curated record
UCUAUCGAGAUAUGUGUGAUUUCGUGUGCUACACUAGAUUAGCCGCGUAGUAGUGACACGCAUAUAUGAGUAUGAGUAUGUGGGAGUAUGUGCGUGCACAGCGUCUCGUAGAACAGAAGAAUGCAACUUCUCGAAGUAAUUACUUCAAGCAAG